CCUACGGGUGGCUGCAGUCGAGAAUCAUUCACAAUGGGGGAAACCCUGAUGGUGCGACGCCGCGUGGGGGAAUGAAGGUCUUCGGAUUGUAAACCCCUGUCAUGUGGGAGCAAAUUAAAAAGAUAGUACCACAAGAGGAAGAGACUGCUAACUCUGUGCCAGCAGCCGCGGUAAUACAGAGGUCUCAAGCGUUGUUCGGAAUCACUGGGCGUAAAGCGUGCGUAGGCUGUUUCGUACAUCGUGUGUGAAAGGCGCGGGCUCAACCCGCGGACGGCACAUGAUACUGCGAGACUAGAGUAAGGGAGGGGGAACCGGAAUUCUCGGUGUAGCGGUGAAAUGCGUAGAUAUCGAGAGGAACACUCGUGGCGAAGGCGGGUUCCUGGACAGUAACUGACGCUGAGGCACGAAGGCCAGGGGAGCGAAAGGGAUUAGAUACCCCGGUAGUC
Molecule: ribosomal RNA, 446 nt
Filed under: uncultured bacterium
Lineage: Bacteria
Description: partial 16S ribosomal RNA
Rfam family: Bacterial small subunit ribosomal RNA
Source: RNAcentral